UAUUGCUGUGCUUAGCAAUAUGAGUGCCAACUGUCACCCAAACCCCAAAGCAAUCGGGCACUCCUGUGAUUUUUUUUUAAUGAUUUCUGUUUUUUAAAAAAAAUAUGUUUGUAAUUUUUGCAUUUCUCCUAUAGGGGACAAUGGGGAUUUGAGGCGGCCCAGCCAGCUUUUCUUCCCUUGGGGGGAUGCCUGGACACCCCAAAGUGGGUUUGUGGGUUUGAGCCCCAAGCCAGUGGGGUUUAUGGUCCCCCCCCCGGGAAUUUUUUCGUUUCUGGCCUCUUACACAGUCUCUCUGUAUGUGUGUCUAUCUCACAGUCUAUAUAUGUAUGAAAAUUUCUUCAUAGGGACUGUCAUUGAGAUAACUCAUACAGCAACCAAUAAUCCAGUUUGUGUUUGGACUUGCUGCUGUAUGAGUUCUCUCAAUGUAUCCCUAUGAAGAACUUUACACACACACACACACACACACACACACCCCUACCUACCUAAGAAUCCACUCUGAUAGACUGUGACGCCCUCCCCCAUGCCCCCCCAGCACAAAUUUAUUUAUUUAUUUAUUUAUUGCUGGUGUCUAUCUUGUGCUUCUUUUUAGAUUGUGAGCCCUUUGGGGACAGGGAUCCAUCUUAUUUUGCCAUUUUUGGAAGGGUGGUAUUGAAAUCGAAUAAAUAACUAAUAUUUAUUUGAUUUCUAUACUGCCCUUCCCAAAAUAGAAUUUUUGGAAUUAAAUUUUAAAUCUCAGGUGCUGUUCUUGCUUGUACACUGAGUCUGUGGAUUGGGCGGCACAUUAAAUCUCUUAAUAAAUAAAAUACAUAAAAUAAAUAAUCUAGAAAGUGAGAUGGCAGCCAGAUCUGCAAUGACACUAAACUAAUAGGGUAAAAAGGUAAAGUUGUGCCGUCGAGUCGGUGUCGACUCCUGGUGUCCACAGAGCCAUGUGGUUUUCUUUCUUUUUUCUUUUUAAUAUUAUUUUAUUGAUUUGGGAAAGAUAUAAACAGAGAGAAAUAAGGAAAAGAAAAGAAAAGGAGAAACAAGAUAAUCAAACCCAGCAAAUAAAGAAUUCUCAAUACAGUCUAUAUACGUCGACCUGAAUUCCUUCAACCAACAUGUAUCUCCCCGCUCUACAAAUUAUUGACUGCAGAACUGAAGGAUAACAAAAAUGAUAUUCUUACUUUCUGCAUUAACUUCCUCUACAAAGAAAAGCCAAAUCUUGGAUGAGGUAAUCGACAGCUCAGAUGAUCCAUUUGCCACCAACAGUUCUGAUUUCAAAAGCUGAUAGCAAAUGGCAUAGCAAAAUGGAAAGAAAAUAAAAACCAGGGGGAAGGAUUUGAGAACCCGGCACAAUUUGCAAGGAGCGGGCAGACUUCAAGAAGAGAAGACAGCAAAAUCAGACUGUGUCUCAAUGCCACAGCCAAGAAACAAAUAAGCCAUCAUCAACAACAACAAACCUCAGUUUGGGACACAUGAGUCUGAGCAAGUCUCUGUAACUCUUCUUAUUUUGCAAUUUCUGUUAACACAAUAGUGUUAAGAAAUAUACACUUUAAUGUGCCAAUUUA
This is a long non-coding RNA of Hemicordylus capensis (graceful crag lizard), 1547 nucleotides long. RefSeq lists it as uncharacterized. The record is from RefSeq and is a predicted model, not a curated record. The transcript is spliced from 3 exons. NCBI's taxonomy places the organism in Eukaryota, Metazoa, Chordata, Lepidosauria, Squamata, Cordylidae.